Arachis stenosperma is the source of this 1403-nucleotide long non-coding RNA. RefSeq lists it as uncharacterized. The transcript is spliced from 5 exons. The record is from RefSeq and is a predicted model, not a curated record. NCBI's taxonomy places the organism in Eukaryota, Viridiplantae, Streptophyta, Magnoliopsida, Fabales, Fabaceae.
UACACACACAAUGCACUACACUCUUCUUUGAACACACGGCAACAACUUCAAAAAAAAAAGAAGAAACAAAAAGAAAGAAAGGGGAAGAAGGAAGGGGGACCGAGGAAGAAAGGAGAGGGGGCAGAAGAGUGAGGCGGCGCGGUGGGUGUCACUGCCACCAUCGCAGCCGCUGCUGAUGGAGGAGAGAGAGGAGAUCUGAGAGAGGAGAGUGUCGCGAGGGAGCCGCCGCGCUGCUCAGGAUCGCCGUCGCGUCGCGUCGCCGUUUGCGCCAGCGCCGAGGAGGACCGCGCGAGAAGGACCGCCGUUUUGCGCCGCCACUGUUGCUCUUGUCGCCGCCGGACCUGUUGCCGUCGCCACCAACUUCCACCACCGUCGAGGUUGUCGCGAAUGGGAGAGAAUGAAGCUGCCCAUGUCGCAGCCGUGAGGAGCCGCAAGUCCCGUCGCCGUCAUCAUCACAAAUGGUGUCGCCGUUGUGGUCGAACCCAGCCGCCACCGUCGCAAGCUCCGUCGCCACCGUUGGAAGUGGGUUGCCGAGCCGGUGUCUUCGGAAAAUGCCGUUGCCGUAGCUGAGGUCCAUUGCCGUUGCCGUCGCUGAGCUUCUGGCCGCUGGGAACGGUGCUGUGGCCGCUAGAACCUUGGUUUGAGUCACUGCCGUUAGUCGCUGAUAGAGGUUGGGUAUUGACGCUAGUGUUGCCGCGGGGCUGCUGAAGCUGCUGCUAGUUCUGAUUUUGCUAUCUUGGUACAAAUGGUUGUAAUUGCUUUUAAUUCCUAUCCAAUUUGAAUCUUCCAUUUUGCUGCAAUCAUGGCCACUGCCGUUCUAGUUGCGUGAGAGUCGUAGCUGCUGCAGAAUAAGGUGAAAAGAGGGUUUAUCGCAUUAAAAUCGCUGCGGGUUUGAUUCUUUGAGUUUUACCUUUUCAGGAACCGGAUGAAGAAGCAUUAAGAAGAGUUAUACUGCGUUUGGUUUAUAUGCUGUUGUAUUAAUUAGAUUAUUUUCUUCCCUCGUCUUUGUUAUUACAAGUUUAUAAGAGGGAUAGGAAUUGUAUGUUUUAUAUGUAUAAUAUAUUAAGUUAUUACGUAAGGAGUCUUGUAUGUGAAUCUAUGCUUGCUUGUGUUUUCCUUAAGAUAAAGUAUUAUUUCUGGUUUUUCAAAGAAAUUAGCGAUAUAGUGUCGAGUCACAGGCUCCUACUUUAAUACUUAGUAUGUAAAAUAGUCGUAAUACUUCUUGCUAACUGAGUAGUGCAGCCGGAAGCGUGACUUCUGAUAGUGAGGGUGUUACAAUAUCCAAUCCGUAUUAACUGUCAUUGUUUAUCAGUUACGUUAUGACAAAUCUGAUUAUUAAAAAAAAUUAAAAUUAGCUUAAAUAUACACAAUAUUAUUCUGUGCCUUUUAUUUUUAUUUUAUUA